RNAcentral lists this ribosomal RNA (251 nucleotides) under uncultured prokaryote. RNAcentral describes it as "partial 16S ribosomal RNA". It matches the Rfam family "Bacterial small subunit ribosomal RNA", at positions 524 to 776 of the family's 1533-position model. The record is from RNAcentral.
UACGGGGGGAGCGAGCAUUAUUCGUCAUGAUUGGGCGUAAAGGGUUUGUAGAUUGUUUUAAAUUUUAAAAAUUAAAAAUUAGAAUUCAAUUUUAAAAGGGUUUUUAAUAGUAAGACUUGAGUUUAUAUAUAAGAUAGUAGAAUUUUUGUUGUAGCGAUAAAAUGCAUAAAUAACAAAAGGAAUACCUGUGGCGAAGGCGGCUAUCUAGUUUAAACUGACAUUGAAAAACUAAAACUAAGGUAGCGAACGGG